This 497-nucleotide ribosomal RNA is filed under the name uncultured bacterium. Its description in RNAcentral is "partial 16S ribosomal RNA". It matches the Rfam family "Bacterial small subunit ribosomal RNA", at positions 28 to 507 of the family's 1533-position model. The record is from RNAcentral.
GAUGAACGCUGGCGGCGUGCCUAAUACAUGCAAGUCGAGCGAACAGAUGAGGAGCUUGCUCCUCUGACGUUAGCGGCGGACGGGUGAGUAACACGUGGAUAACCUACCUAUAAGACUGGGAUAACUUCGGGAAACCGGAGCUAAUACCGGAUAAUAUAUUGAACCGCAUGGUUCAAUAGUGAAAGACGGUUUUGCUGUCACUUAUAGAUGGAUCCGCGCCGCAUUAGCUAGUUGGUAAGGUAACGGCUUACCAAGGCAACGAUGCGUAGCCGACCUGAGAGGGUGAUCGGCCACACUGGAACUGAGACACGGUCCAGACUCCUACGGGAGGCAGCAGUAGGGAAUCUUCCGCAAUGGGCGAAAGCCUGACGGAGCAACGCCGCGUGAGUGAUGAAGGUCUUCGGAUCGUAAAACACUGUUAUUAGGGAAGAACAAAUGUGUAAGUAACUAUGCACGUCUUGACGGUACCUAAUCAGAAAGCCACGGCUAACUACGUG